UGUGAACAGGUUAUGACAAUUUGAAUCAGUUGAUAUUAGUUACUUAUAAGUCUUAUAAGUCUCAUCAAGGUUUUUAAACAUUCCGUCCAAAGAAGACUAAUGCAGACUUGAAAAAAUAGACAGUGUGUCUCCACUUCUAAGGCAUGAAAUCAGAGCUACAUUCCAAAAAUAUGUGAAUUACCAAAAAAAGACCACAAACUUUGUCUAUUUAAAAGUGUGUAUUUAAUGUUUUUAGGACUGUUACGUUACAGUCUUUUGUUUCAUUGUAAGCUCUAUUGAACAGUAUUUCGAAGGUAAUUCACUGAGCUUAUACGGAUCAGUCUGACCCUAGAUGAACAAUGCUUCUUAUUGGUUUUAGAUUAAUAAUCCAUACACAGCACUAGUUUUCUUACUUAAUUUUUCACAACUCUUUCUCAGGAGUUGAAGAGUUACUGAGAGUUCAGUUCAUCUGUCUUCUCUCAAAUAAAGAGAGACUCCCUGCAAAUAUGUCUAAUCUUCCUUAGCUCUUUCAUAACCAUCACUUUUCCCUCUCUCUGUGGGACAUGAUACGUUCGCUCCGUCAGCUUGAGGCUUAUCGCUGUGUUUAAAGGGGUUCUGUGUUCUGUCACAGAGGCAGGAGGCCAUAAACACAUAUGAGCAUCUCCCUCACUGUCAAGGCUUUCUGAGUUGUAAUUGGCUGAGAGCUGCACUGUCAGCUGAUUGGCCGGGCUGAGGAUGAAUGGCCACGCUGACAACCAAUGGGGCCAGAUGAGGGUGAGCCGGGUGAGAUAUGGGACGCCGCAUUCUUGAGCAUAAUCAAAUCUUUGGAGCUUUCACUGAUGGUGAGUGAAUCAGUUUGUAUCAAGAGUUCAUAUGCAAGAGGAACCAAGACACACCUCAAAAGAUUCAAACAAGUUUUUGCAGCAAGCUAAUAAAGUU
RNAcentral lists this long non-coding RNA (918 nucleotides) under Carassius auratus (goldfish). RNAcentral's name for it is "lncRNA (ENSCARG00000051732.1)". The record is from RNAcentral. Lineage: Eukaryota; Metazoa; Chordata; Actinopteri; Cypriniformes; Cyprinidae.